Molecule: ribosomal RNA, 1056 nt
Filed under: Bacillus sp. (in: firmicutes)
Lineage: Bacteria; Bacillati; Bacillota; Bacilli; Caryophanales; Bacillaceae
Description: bacterial SSU rRNA
Rfam family: Bacterial small subunit ribosomal RNA
Source: RNAcentral
UUGCUCCCUGAUGUUAGCGGCGGACGGGUGAGUAACACGUGGGUAACCUUCCUGUAAGACUGGGAUAACUCCGGGAAACCGGGGCUAAUACCGGAUGGUUGUUUGAACCGCAUGGUUCAGACAUAAAAGGUGGCUUCGGCUACCACUUACAGAUGGACCCGCGGCGCAUUAGCUAGUUGGUGAGGUAACGGCUCACCAAGGCGACGAUGCGUAGCCGACCUGAGAGGGUGAUCGGCCACACUGGGACUGAGACACGGCCCAGACUCCUACGGGAGGCAGCAGUAGGGAAUCUUCCGCAAUGGACGAAAGUCUGACGGAGCAACGCCGCGUGAGUGAUGAAGGUUUUCGGAUCGUAAAGCUCUGUUGUUAGGGAAGAACAAGUGCCGUUCAAUUAGGGCGGCACCUUGACGGUACCUAACCAGAAAGCCACGGCUAACUACGUGCCAGCAGCCGCGGUAAUACGUAGGUGGCAAGCGUUGUCCGGAAUUAUUGGGCGUAAAGGGCUCGCAGGCGGUUUCUUAAGUCUGAUGUGAAAGCCCCCGGCUCAACCGGGGAGGGUCAUUGGAAACUGGGGAACUUGAGUGCAGAAGAGGAGAGUGGAAUUCCACGUGUAGCGGUGAAAUGCGUAGAGAUGUGGAGGAACACCAGUGGCGAAGGCGACUCUCUGGUCUGUAACUGACGCUGAGGAGCGAAAGCGUGGGGAGCGAACAGGAUUAGAUACCCUGGUAGUCCACGCCGUAAACGAUGAGUGCUAAGUGUUAGGGGGUUUCCGCCCCUUAGUGCUGCAGCUAACGCAUUAAGCACUCCGCCUGGGGAGUACGGUCGCAAGACUGAAACUCAAAGGAAUUGACGGGGGCCCGCACAAGCGGUGGAGCAUGUGGUUUAAUUCGAAGCAACGCGAAGAACCCUUACCAGGUCUUGACAUCCUCUGACAAUCCUAGAGAUAGGACGUCCCCUUUCGGGGGCAGAGUGACAGUGAUGCAUGGUUGUCGUCAGCUCGUGUCGUGAGAUGUUGGGUUAAGUCCCGCAACGAGCGCAACCCUUGAUCUAGUGCAG